Molecule: ribosomal RNA, 372 nt
Filed under: uncultured bacterium
Lineage: Bacteria
Description: bacterial SSU rRNA
Rfam family: Bacterial small subunit ribosomal RNA
Source: RNAcentral
GAUUGUCCCAGCCGCCGCGGUAAUACGGAGGGGGCUAGCGUUAGCUCGGAAUUACUGGGCGUAAAAGGCGCACGUAGGCGGAUCAAUAAAGACAGAGGUGAAAUCCCCUGGCUCAACCUGGGAACUGCCUUUGAUACUGCAAAGCUAGAGUUCUGAAGAGGGGGAUAGGAAUAUCCGCGUGUAGCAGUGAAAUGCUUAGAUAUGCCGGUAGGAACACCAAUGGCGAAGGCAAUCCCCUGCUACCUGUACUGACGCUCAUGCACGAAAGCGUGGGGAGCAAACAGGAUUAGAUACCCUGGUAGUCCACGCCCUAAACGAUGUCAUACUGGCUGUUGGACGCAUUGCUGUUCACUAACCAAACUAACUCAUGAU